UCAGUAACACGUAGUCAACCUAACUCGUGGACGUGGAUACCCUCGGGAAACUGAGAAUAAACCACGAUAGAUCAUUAUGCCUGGAAUGGCUUAUGGUCGAAAUAGUUUACUGCCAUGAGAUGGGACUGCGGCCUAUCAGCUUGUUGGUGAGGUAAUGGCCCACCAAGGCUAUAACAGGUACGAGCUCUGAGAGGAGAAGCCCGGAGAUGGGUACUGAGACACGGACCCAGGCCCUAUGGGGCGCAGCAGGCGAGAAACCUUAGCAAUGUGCGAAAGCACGACUGGGUCAGUCCGAGUGAUUCCUGCUGAAGGAAUCUUUUGCUUGUCCUAAAAGCACAGGUGAAUAAGGGGUGGGCAAGUCUGGUGCCA
RNAcentral lists this ribosomal RNA (369 nucleotides) under unidentified archaeon. RNAcentral describes it as "bacterial SSU rRNA". It matches the Rfam family "Archaeal small subunit ribosomal RNA", at positions 90 to 460 of the family's 1478-position model. The record is from RNAcentral.